Molecule: ribosomal RNA, 500 nt
Filed under: uncultured bacterium
Lineage: Bacteria
Description: partial 16S ribosomal RNA
Rfam family: Bacterial small subunit ribosomal RNA
Source: RNAcentral
AUUGAACGCUGGCGGAAUGCUUUACACAUGCAAGUCGAACGGCAGCACGGACUUCGGUCUGGUGGCGAGUGGCGAACGGGUGAGUAAUGUAUCGGAACGUGCCCAGUCGUGGGGGAUAACGUAGUGAAAAUUACGCUAAUACCGCAUACGAUCUAUGGAUGAAAGCGGGGGAUCGACAGACCUUGCUCGAUCGGAGCGGCCGAUAUCAGAUUAGGUAGUUAGUGGGGUAAAGGCCCACCAAGCCAACGAUCUGUAGCUGGUCUGAGAGGACGACCAGCCACACUGGAACUGAGACACGGUCCAGACUCCUACGGGAGGCAGCAGUGGGGAAUUUUGGACAAUGGGCGAAAGCCUGAUCCAGCCAUUCCGCGUGCAGGAUGAAGGCCCUCGGGUUGUAAACUGCUUUUGUACAGAACGAAAAGGUUUCUACUAAUACUAGGAGCUCAUGACGGUACUGUAAGAAUAAGCACCGGCUAACUACGUGCCAGCCGCCGCCGUAA